CAGUGACAUUCUCUAUCAGUUGUAUGCAGUAUUGUGGUAGCCAUGUGGGUCCCAGGAUAUUAGAGAGACAAGGUGAGUGAGGUAGUAUCUUUUAUUGUGCC
Molecule: non-coding RNA, 101 nt
Organism: Chelonoidis abingdonii (Abingdon island giant tortoise)
Lineage: Eukaryota; Metazoa; Chordata; Testudines; Testudinidae
Source: RefSeq, a predicted model, not a curated record